CGGACGGGUGAGUAAUGUCUGGGAAACUGCCCGAUGGAGGGGGAUAACUACUGGAAACGGUAGCUAAUACCGCAUAACGUCGCAAGACCAAAGAGGGGACCUUAGGGCCUCUUGCCAUCGGAUGUGCCCAGAUGGGAUUAGCUAGUAGGUGGGGCAAUGGCUCACCUAGGCGACGAUCCCUAGCUGGUCUGAGAGGAUGACCAGCCACACUGGAACUGAGACACGGUCCAG
This 231-nucleotide ribosomal RNA is filed under the name uncultured bacterium. RNAcentral describes it as "partial 16S ribosomal RNA". It matches the Rfam family "Bacterial small subunit ribosomal RNA", at positions 99 to 334 of the family's 1533-position model. The record is from RNAcentral.